Molecule: non-coding RNA, 597 nt
Organism: Phalacrocorax carbo (great cormorant)
Lineage: Eukaryota; Metazoa; Chordata; Aves; Suliformes; Phalacrocoracidae
Source: RefSeq, a predicted model, not a curated record
ACAACGCCGCCCUUCAUUGGCCAGCCUCUCGACUCAUCCCGCCCCCGGCGUAUAGAACCCGGCUCCCUAUUGGCCGUGGAGACGUACCCAUGGAAACCGCGCACACCCUCUGAGGAGCGGCAAGGUACCCGGAAAGGAUGUUAAACCAGUUUCUACGAGGGGACGCUAUUAAGAAUUCAGCAUCCUGGUAACUGUAUGUUUUUAAGGGGAUAAAUGGACUGUGCAUCUAUCUGUCUUGACACUGUGUGGGCACCAACAAACGGAAGAUGGUGGCCUGGAAGGCUGUGCUGCCAUCAAGAAGACCUGGACAGGCUGGAGAGCUGGGCCAAGGAGAACCUCGUGAAAUUCAACAAGAGCAAGUGCAAGGUCCUGCCCCUGGGGAGGAACAGCCCCCCGCACCAGUACAGGCUGGGGGGGACCUGCUGGAGAGCGGCUCUGCUGAGAGGGUCCUGGGGGUGCUGGGGGGCAGCGAGGUGACCCUGACCCAGCACCGGGCCCUUGGGGCCAAGGGGGCCAGCGGUGUCCUGGGGUGCAUGGAAAGGAGUGUGGCCAGCAGGGGGAGGGAGGUUCUCCUCCCCCUCUGCUCUGCCCCAGUGA